Molecule: ribosomal RNA, 270 nt
Filed under: uncultured soil bacterium
Lineage: Bacteria
Description: partial 16S ribosomal RNA
Rfam family: Bacterial small subunit ribosomal RNA
Source: RNAcentral
AGAAUCAACGCUGGCGGCGUGCCUAACACAUGCAAGUCGAACGCGAAAGCCCCGCAAGGGUCAGUAGAGUGGCAAACGGGUGAGUAACACGUGGGUGACCUGCCUCAGAGUGGGGAUAACGACCCGAAAGGGUCGCUAAUACCGCAUAACAUCCUGCCUUUGGAUAGGUGGAGAUCAAAGUUGGGAUCCGCAAGGACCUGACGCUUGGAGAGGGCCCGCGGCCGAUUAGCUAGUUGGUGAGGUAACGGCUCACCAAGGCAACGAUCGGUA